AACGAACGCUGGCGGCGUGCCUAACACAUGCAAGUCGAGCGCGAAAGUCUUCAGAUGAGUAGAGCGGCGCACGGGUGAGUAACACGUGGGUAAUCUGCCCUCAGGCCCGGAAUAACCAAGGGAAACUUUGGCUAAUACCGGAUGAGACCACGCAACGAGAGUUGCGUGGGAAAAGUAGGGGAUCUCUUCGGAGGCCUUACACCAGAGGAUGAGCCCGCGUCCCAUCAGCUAGUUGGCGGGGUAAUGGCCCACCAAGGCUAAGACGGGUAGCUGGUCUGAGAGGAUGGCCAGCCACACUGGAACUGAGACACGGUCCAGACUCCUACGGGAGGCAGCAGUGGGGAAUAUUGCGCAAUGGGGCAAGCCCUGACGCAGCAACGCCGCGUGAGUGAUGAAGGUCUUCGGAUCGUAAAGCUCUGUCGGCAGGAACGAUGGCAAGUGCUAACAUCCAACGGCUUGACGGUACCUGCAAAGGAAGCACCGGCUAACUCUGUGCC
Molecule: ribosomal RNA, 497 nt
Filed under: uncultured bacterium
Lineage: Bacteria
Description: bacterial SSU rRNA
Rfam family: Bacterial small subunit ribosomal RNA
Source: RNAcentral